Long non-coding RNA from Anguilla rostrata (American eel), 711 nucleotides. RefSeq lists it as uncharacterized. The transcript is spliced from 3 exons. Lineage: Eukaryota; Metazoa; Chordata; Actinopteri; Anguilliformes; Anguillidae. The record is from RefSeq and is a predicted model, not a curated record.
AACAUCUCCGCACAUGAGCGUUGCUCGGGGUGGAGUAGUCAAACCAAGUAGCAUUUUACUUCGUAGUUAAUGGCUAUUGCUAAUUUGCUAAUUUCUUGGGGUUCAUUUGAUUGUGCGCGUGCACUUGCACUGGGGGUUGGGGUUUGGUUUCUGAAGUAGGCUAUUGUGGGAACGCAAAUUACCUUGUGAACUACAUAUUCUUCAGGAUUGCCACCGUUUACUUGCUUUCUGGAUCUGUACCCUAUUUCAUUUGUGACGUUGGGUUGUGGUUUUCACAAGUCAUAAUAACAUUGGAUGAGCUUGAAGCAAGUCCAUCUAAUCUCUGCGCAAGAUACAACCGCCCAUGGAGGAGCAGCCAUCGGAGAGAGAGAGGAGCUCCAGUGCUUCCUGUCUGCCGAGCCAGAGAGCAGAGAGAGGGAGAGAGUCCAGGCAGCGCCGCAAUCUGUCUCAACAGCAGCCCACUUUCCCUGGAGUCUCCCUCACGCAAGCAUCUGAAGAGGCUCCUAGUCAUUACCAGCCUUCUUCAUUAUUCAUCCAGGUCCCGAGAGGGCUCCCUCACGCUGUCACGCGCCCGUCACACCAGCACGGGCUCUGGAUCCCUCCACCACAGUCUGGUGGGUUAAGGAGUUUGGAGCUUUCUACCGUACACAUGCUCACAACGUACACGGAGGUGAGGGCCAGCCAACCUUGGACCUGGCAUUUUCUUUUAAU